This 175-nucleotide small nuclear RNA is filed under the name Salmo salar (Atlantic salmon). RNAcentral describes it as "U2 spliceosomal RNA (ENSSSAG00000113431.1)". It matches the Rfam family "U2 spliceosomal RNA". From Rfam's summary of the family: U2 is a small nuclear RNA (snRNA) component of the spliceosome (involved in pre-mRNA splicing). Complementary binding between U2 snRNA (in an area lying towards the 5' end but 3' to hairpin I) and the branchpoint sequence (BPS) of the intron results the bulging out of an unpaired adenosine, on the BPS, which initiates a nucleophilic attack at the intronic 5' splice site, thus starting the first of two transesterification reactions that mediate splicing. The record is from RNAcentral. Lineage: Eukaryota; Metazoa; Chordata; Actinopteri; Salmoniformes; Salmonidae.
AUAUAUUUUGUAAAAAAAAAUCUGUUCUUAUCAGUUUAAUAUCUGUACGUCCCCAUCGGGGAACUACAUAAUAAAUGGAUUUUUCGAACAGGGAGUCGGAAAUAGGGCUUACAUCCGUCCGCUCCACGCAUCUCGACCCGGGUAUUGCAGUACACUCCGGAACGGUGUCAACACU